This 427-nucleotide ribosomal RNA is filed under the name uncultured bacterium. RNAcentral describes it as "partial 16S ribosomal RNA". It matches the Rfam family "Bacterial small subunit ribosomal RNA", at positions 354 to 796 of the family's 1533-position model. The record is from RNAcentral.
GUGGGGAAUAUUGGGCAAUGGGGGAAACCCUGACCCAGCGACGCCGCGUGAGGGAAGAAGGCCUUAGGGUCGUAAACCUCUGUUGUGUGGGAAGAAGAGCGUGACGGUACCACACGAGGAAGUCCCGGCUAACUACGUGCCAGCAGCCGCGGUAAUACGUAGGGGACGAGCGUUGUCCGGAUUUACUGGGCGUAAAGGGCGCGUAGGCGGUCAUUUAAGUCAGCUGUGAAAUGGUUUGGCUUAACCGGAUCAUGCGGUUGAAACUGGAUGACUGGAGUGCUGGAGAGGCAAGUGGAAUUCCCAGUGUAGCGGUGAAAUGCGUAGAUAUUGGGAAGAACACCGGUGGCGAAGGCGACUUGCUGGCCAGCAACUGACGCUGAGGUUCGAAAGCGUGGGUAGCAAACAGGAUUAGAAACCCUAGUAGUCC